Long non-coding RNA from Centrocercus urophasianus (Greater sage-grouse), 2515 nucleotides. RefSeq lists it as uncharacterized. The record is from RefSeq and is a predicted model, not a curated record. NCBI's taxonomy places the organism in Eukaryota, Metazoa, Chordata, Aves, Galliformes, Phasianidae. The transcript is spliced from 7 exons.
CUAUUGUCAGCGUUUUAUGAUUUCCUCUGCAGAAACAUUUGAUUUGUUCCGGGAAAUCACAUGCAGAUACAGUGCUUCCCUUCACAGCAACCAGAUACAUGUUUUGAAUUGACACAGGCAGUUUAUCCACAUUCCUGGACUGCUAAGCACUACUUUCAGCAACUCUGAGGACUAGAACUCAUUCCCUGGGAAAUUUUCUUUCCUGAUGAAUCUUCAAGAUUUACCAGCAGGACUGCAGAUCUGACAUAAAACAACCCGUCUUUUGCAGUGGUGUGAAUUCUCUGGAACCUUCACUGAAGCCUGUAUGUUGCAUGAUGCUUCCUCGGAGAUCACAGUACCGUAGAAAGAUGGACUGGUAUUUUUUGGAUGGGAGGCCUUCUGGUUACAGCCACAAAGGAGGAAACUGUCCCGUUUGACUUUGUGUUCAGAAGUGCACAACUUCUAGCCUUAGUAGGACUUGGAGCUUGGCGCUGCUGAAAAGCAAGGCAUGUAUUUACCAGCCUGUCUUCCUGCAUGUAUAUCCUUUCUCUGAUCUAGUUCACUUCUCCAUACUCCAAUGCUGCGUUGGUUGGAAUAGGAGCUGCAGAGGACCCUGAAGUUCAUUGUGCUGGAGAAGACUCCUCAUAGAGCUGGAGUUGUUUUGUCUUCUGUGUUUGGAUCCGAAGCCAGUCUUGUUCUCACUUGGCACCAAAUAGACACAGAUGAUGAGACUGUAACAUAUAACACACAGAAGAAUUUAUUCUAGCUCUCUUCAACAGAUUCUGACUUCUGCAACCUACAACAAUCCCAGCGUGCAGAGUAAACAAGGUGACUCAUUCUCUUCUGGUAAAUAGCUGCCUCCCAAGGUUUUGCUGCUGACAGGACUUUUUGUUUUUUUAACUGCACCCAAAGAACAGAGGGAUGUGAGCUAUGAACCACAUAGAAUGGGAAGAGUUCUCCUGGUGGCAGAAAUGCAGGAUAUACAUUAUUCAUCUGGCAGAGCUGUCAGGGACUGCAAGUUUGCUGCAAGACCUUUGGAAUUUCACAACAGCAAAAGAAAAGUAAGAGAAAACCAAGAGAAGGGAGAAAAAGCACAAAAGGAGGGAAAGAAUGAGAGGAUAUUGCUGGGGAGGUUCUGCUUGUUGGUGGGAAAUUUAGAAGCUCUUCCUGGACCACUUUGGCCAUCUCUACACUUACUGAGGACAUAAUAUAUUUAAUUGAUGUACCAAAGGUGGAGAAGAGCUGGUGUAAAUCAUAGAAUCAUAGAAUGAUUGAGUUUGGAAAAGACCACUGAGAUCGUCAGGUCCAACCACGGCCCACCACCCUGCCCACUAACCAUAUCCCUAAGAUGUAGCAUUGCAGAUGGGACAGGUGGAACCUGCAUCCUCAGCAGCAGCCCUUGCUGUAUCUGACCAUGGAGUUUGCAUGAGCUUGGUAACAGCUCCAUGAAAGAAAAAUCCCUGUGUGCGUCCAUGCUGAGCAUGUUCCAUGUAGGUUUCUCCUGCUGGGAGAAGGAGCUGGGGCUGGAUCACAAGGAGGACAGAAGGGGUUGUCAGGGAUGUUCAGAACAGGAGGGAAAGAUAUUAGGCACUGAGAGGUGGCACUUGGUCGGUCAGCCAGGUGAGGGCAUACAACCAGCAGCCAUCUGCAGCCUGAUGAUGAAUGCACGUGGGCCAACAGUUGUGCAUUCAUUGUUCAUCUUGCUUGUAAUGGAUGCACUUUUUGUAAGAGGGAAAAAUCUAUAAAACACUGCUGUUCAGCACAGAUGGUCACUGUCACUGCCUCACUGCCCCGAGAAGAUUCAUAAACCUGCACUUCAAAAAGAUUUUUCCAGUGACACUGUAAAGGCUCAGAAUCAGAGGUAAGGCCACAGUGCUGCCCUGCAAGAUCAUUUUGUGUCUAUCAAAGCGACACCCAAGCCAGGCUAUGAAGCCUGUGUUAGUCCUCAGGGCAUUUUCUUUGCCAUGUUCCUAUCCAAGGAACCUGCAGCCCUGGUGGAGGGUUGCACUCCAUGUAAUAACCAAAUGAGUGCUUCGUUUGGCUUCCAAGAACUUGGAAUAUGCUGUGUCAGUGAGGGAUCCCUUGGGGAUCCUUUCCCAUAGUUUCUUGUUGGUUUGUGAAUUGAUUUUGGGGUUUUGGGAUCACAUAUAGGAAACACAGCUGUAGCUUACAGCCCCAUCAACAGGGUCAGCUUCCCUGGCUGGAGGAUAGGAGGCAGCAGGGAGGGCACCCAUGCACAGAGCUGUGCUGUAUGUGCAGUCCCCACAGCCAGAGGCACAUUGUAAGCUUUGGGUCCUACCAUGAACCACCAGAUACAACUUCCUCUGGAGUCAGUGGGAAUUAGCCAGCACGAGGAGCACAAUGUGAUGGAAACAGGAGACACUGCGAGUUCACAGGGGACUUGAAUUAAAAGUUUGUUAGGACAUAGUCUAUAUUAGUUAACUACAUUCAGAUAAUCAUUUUCCAGGCAUUCAAGGCCAGGUUGGAUGGGGCCCUGGGCAGCCUCAUCUGGUACCAGAUCUGGCGGUUGGUGGCC